Molecule: transfer RNA, 73 nt
Filed under: Verrucomicrobium spinosum DSM 4136 = JCM 18804
Lineage: Bacteria; Pseudomonadati; Verrucomicrobiota; Verrucomicrobiia; Verrucomicrobiales; Verrucomicrobiaceae
Description: tRNA-Gln (TTG) (tRNA-Gln-TTG-2-1)
Rfam family: tRNA
About the family: Transfer RNA (tRNA) molecules are approximately 80 nucleotides in length.
Source: RNAcentral
GCUCCGUAGCUCAAUCAGACAGAGCACCCGGCUUUGGACCGGGUGGUUGAUGGUGCAAAUCCAUCCGGAGCCG